AUCGCCGAAGGUGGGGUAACGGCCCACCGUGCCAGUAAUCGGUACGGGUCAUGAGAGUGAGAGCCCGGAGACGGACUCUGAGACAAGAGUCCGGGCCCUACGGGGCGCAGCAGGCGCGAAACCUUUNCACUGCACGCGAGUGCGAUAAGGGGACCCCGAGUGCGGAGGCAUAGUGCCUUCGCUUUUCUGGACUGUAGGGACGUCCAGGAAGAAGGGCUGGGCAAGACCGGUGCCAGCCGCCGCGGUAAUACCGGCAGCCCGAGUGAUGGCCGAUAUUAUUGGGCCUAAAGCGUCCGUAGCUGGCCGCGUACGUCCGUCGGGAAAUCCACGCGCUCAACGCGUGGGCGACCGACGGAGUCGGCGCGGCUUGGGACCGGAAGGCGCGACGGGUACGUCCGGGGUAGGAGUGAAAUCCUAUAAUCCCGGACGGACCGCCGAUGGCGAAAGCACGUCGCGAGGACGGCUCCGACAGUGAGGGACGAAAGCUGGGGUCUCGAACCGGAUUAGAUACCCGGGUAGUCCCAGCCGUAAACGAUGCCUGUUAGGUGUGGCACUCGCUACGAGCGGGUGCUGUGCCGUA
RNAcentral lists this ribosomal RNA (580 nucleotides) under uncultured archaeon. Its description in RNAcentral is "bacterial SSU rRNA". It matches the Rfam family "Archaeal small subunit ribosomal RNA", at positions 226 to 805 of the family's 1478-position model. The record is from RNAcentral.